CAACCUAAGAGUUUGAUCCUGGCUCAGAACGAACGCUGGCGGCAGGCCUAACACAUGCAAGUCGAACGAGAAGCCGCCCUUCGGGGCGGUGGAAAGUGGCGCACGGGUGAGUAACGCGUGGGAACCUACCCUGAGGUACGGAAUAACGGCUGGAAACGGCUGCUAAUACCGUAUGUGCCCUACGGGGGAAAGAUUUAUCGCCUUGGGACGGGCCCGCGUCGGAUUAGCUUGUUGGUAGGGUAACGGCCUACCAAGGCUCCGAUCCGUAGCUGGUCUGAGAGGAUGAUCAGCCACACUGGAACUGAGACACGGUCCAGACUCCUACGGGAGGCAGCAGUGGGGAAUAUUGCGCAAUGGGGGAAACCCUGACGCAGCCAUGCCGCGUGAGUGAAGAAGGUCUUCGGAUUGUAAAGCUCUUUCAACGGGGAAGAUGAUGACGGUACCCGUAGAAGAAGCCCCGGCUAACUUCGUGCCAGCAGCCGCGGUAAUACGAAGGGGGCUAGCGUUGUUCGGAAUUACUGGGCGUAAAGGGCGUGUAGGCGGUGCGA
RNAcentral lists this ribosomal RNA (548 nucleotides) under Rhodospirillaceae bacterium. Its description in RNAcentral is "bacterial SSU rRNA". It matches the Rfam family "Bacterial small subunit ribosomal RNA", at positions 1 to 583 of the family's 1533-position model. The record is from RNAcentral. Lineage: Bacteria; Pseudomonadati; Pseudomonadota; Alphaproteobacteria; Rhodospirillales; Rhodospirillaceae.